RNAcentral lists this ribosomal RNA (478 nucleotides) under uncultured bacterium. Its description in RNAcentral is "partial 16S ribosomal RNA". It matches the Rfam family "Bacterial small subunit ribosomal RNA", at positions 28 to 523 of the family's 1533-position model. The record is from RNAcentral.
GACGAACGCUGGCGGCGUGCUUAACACAUGCAAGUCGAGCGGUAAGGCCUUUCGGGGUACACGAGCGGCGAACGGGUGAGUAACACGUGGGUGAUCUGCCCUGCACUCUGGGAUAAGCCUGGGAAACUGGGUCUAAUACCGGAUAGGACUCCUGGCUUCACGGUUGGGGGUGGAAAGCUUUUGCGGUGUGGGAUGGGCCCGCGGCCUAUCAGCUUGUUGGUGGGGUAAUGGCCUACCAAGGCGACGACGGGUAGCCGGCCUGAGAGGGUGACCGGUAACACGGGGACUGAGAUACGGCCCAGACUCCUACGGGAGGCAGCAGUGGGGAAUAUUGCACAAUGGGCGCAAGCCUGAUGCAGCGACGCCGCGUGAGGGAUGACGGCCUUCGGGUUGUAAACCUCUUUCCGCUAUGACGAAGCGCAAGUGACGGUAGUAGCAGAAGAAGGACCGGCCAACUACGUGCCAGCAGCCGCCGUAA